Molecule: ribosomal RNA, 496 nt
Filed under: uncultured bacterium
Lineage: Bacteria
Description: partial 16S ribosomal RNA
Rfam family: Bacterial small subunit ribosomal RNA
Source: RNAcentral
GAUGAACGCUGGCGGCGUGCCUAAUACAUGCAAGUCGAGCGAACAGACGAGGAGCUUGCUCCUCUGACGUUAGCGGCGGACGGGUGAGUAACACGUGGAUAACCUACCUAUAAGACUGGGAUAACUUCGGGAAACCGGAGCUAAUACCGGAUAAUAUAUUGAACCGCAUGGUUCAAUAGUGAAAGACGGUUUUGCUGUCACUUAUAGAUGGAUCCGCGCCGCAUUAGCUAGUUGGUAAGGUAACGGCUUACCAAGGCAACGAUGCGUAGCCGACCUGAGAGGGUGAUCGGCCACACUGGAACUGAGACACGGUCCAGACUCCUACGGGAGGCAGCAGUAGGGAAUCUUCCGCAAUGGGCGAAAGCCUGACGGAGCAGCGCCGCGUGAGUGAUGAAGGUCUUCGGAUCGUAAAACUCUGUUAUUAGGGAAGAACAAAUGUGUAAGUAACUAUGCACGUCUUGACGGUACCUAAUCAGAAAGCCACGGCUAACUACGU